This 465-nucleotide ribosomal RNA is filed under the name uncultured bacterium. RNAcentral's name for it is "partial 16S ribosomal RNA". It matches the Rfam family "Bacterial small subunit ribosomal RNA", at positions 28 to 507 of the family's 1533-position model. The record is from RNAcentral.
GACGAACGCUGGCGGCGUGCUUAACACAUGCAAGUCGAACGGAAAGGCCCUGCUUGCAGGGUACUCGAGUGGCGAACGGGUGGGUAACUCGUGGGUGAUCUGCCCUGCACUUCGGGAUAAGUCUGGGAAACUGGGUCUAAUACCGGAUAGGAGCUAUAUUGAGCGGGAUGGUUGGAAAGUUUUUUCGGGGUUUGAUGAGCUGGGGGCCUAUCGGCUUGUUGGUGGGGUAAUGGGGUACCAAGGCGGCGGAGGGUAGCCGGACUGAGGGGGUGGACGGCCACACUGGGACUGAGAUGCGGCCCCGACACCGACGGGUGGCAGCUGUGGGGAAUCUUGCACGAUGAGCGCCAGGCUGAUGCAGAGACGCCGCGGGGGGGAUAACGCCCUUCGGGUUGAAGACUCAUUUCGCUAGGAACGAAGCUUUUUGUGACGGUACCUAGAUAAGAAGCCCCGGCUAACUACGUG